This 1031-nucleotide long non-coding RNA is filed under the name Fragaria vesca (wild strawberry). Its description in RNAcentral is "long non-coding RNA (FVES_LNC004679)". Lineage: Eukaryota; Viridiplantae; Streptophyta; Magnoliopsida; Rosales; Rosaceae. The record is from RNAcentral.
CGUCACCCGUUUAUCCCCGUAUAUCUCCACUACCAGGACAAGUACUUUAGCCGACGAAAAAUUUUCGUCGGCCUGUUAUCCUAAUUCGUCGGCUAAGCCCUUAGCCGACGAAGGCUCGUCGGGUAUAGUGUCGUCGGGAAAAGGUCGUCGGUGAUAGCUUUAGCCGACGAACCUAAAGACCGUCGUCGGCUAUUGUCCAGAUUUUAGCUGACGAACUAUUUUUUGUCGGCUAUUGUUCUAGACUUUAGCCGACGACGUCCUGUGUCGUCGGCUAUACUUUCAGACUUUAGCCGACGACUUCCUGUGUCGUCGAUUAUACUCUCAGACUUUAGCCGACGACGUCCAGUGUCGUCGGCUUUACUCACAGACUUUAGCCGACGGAACAGAGAUAUUCGUCGGCUAAAGUAUAUAAUUAAAAUAUUUAAAAAUAACUAUAGCCAACGACAUAGAGUCUGUUUCGUCGGCUUUAGUGGUGUUUAGCCGACGAAACAUGCCAUAAUUCGUCGGCUAAACCCUUUGGAAAAAAAAUAUAAAAUAACUAUAGCCGACGAAUUGUGGCAUGUUUCGUCGGCUAUAACGCCAUUCCAGUAAAAAAAAAUAUACAAAAUUCUUAAAUUACCAUUCCAAGCAAGCUGCAAAAUACACCAAAACAAUUCCAUAUAUAUAACCAACAAGAAGCACAUAAAACUAUAUAAGGUAUCAACUACACAAAAUCUAGGUGGUCUAAAUCAAUAUCCGAAUUUGGGGCCUGCUGGUGAGGAGAUUGCGGCGGCAGAGGUAACUCUAUAGGCGCAGGCAUGGGCGGAGGUGGGAGUCCCUGAAGCUGGGCAGCUGUAAAAUCCUGGAAGUACUGGAACAUCUGCUGCUGCUGGGCCUGCUGGGCGGCAUGUAGGGCUCUAGUAUAGGCUCUAUAUUCGGCGAUCUGGGCGGCAUGAGCGGCAGCCUGAGCAGCCUGAGCGGCUUGCUGUUCCCGUAGUCUCUCAACUUCCGACUCUAGCUGAGUCGUCCUGCUGUUGGUCGAGGCUGCCUUU